RNAcentral lists this non-coding RNA (87 nucleotides) under Pseudopedinella elastica. The record is from RNAcentral. Lineage: Eukaryota; Dictyochophyceae; Pedinellales.
AAACAGAAAAAGAGGACCAAGGGUUCACAGGCUCCUAAUUUGCUCUCGCUUUUGCUCUUUUAUUUUUUCUAACCCUUUUCUUACUCU